This 424-nucleotide ribosomal RNA is filed under the name Escherichia fergusonii. RNAcentral describes it as "bacterial SSU rRNA". It matches the Rfam family "Bacterial small subunit ribosomal RNA", at positions 1 to 421 of the family's 1533-position model. The record is from RNAcentral. Lineage: Bacteria; Pseudomonadati; Pseudomonadota; Gammaproteobacteria; Enterobacterales; Enterobacteriaceae.
AAAUUGAAGAGUUUGAUCAUGGCUCAGAUUGAACGCUGGCGGCAGGCCUAACACAUGCAAGUCGAACGGUAACAGGAAUCAGCUUGCUGAUUCGCUGACGAGUGGCGGACGGGUGAGUAAUGUCUGGGAAACUGCCUGAUGGAGGGGGAUAACUACUGGAAACGGUAGCUAAUACCGCAUAAUGUCGCAAGACCAAAGAGGGGGACCUUCGGGCCUCUUGCCAUCGGAUGUGCCCAGAUGGGAUUAGCUUGUAGGUGGGGUAACGGCUCACCUAGGCGACGAUCCCUAGCUGGUCUGAGAGGAUGACCAGCCACACUGGAACUGAGACACGGUCCAGACUCCUACGGGAGGCAGCAGUGGGGAAUAUUGCACAAUGGGCGCAAGCCUGAUGCAGCCAUGCCGCGUGUAUGAAGAAGGCCUUCGG